UACGAAGGGUGCAAGCGUUACUCGGAAUCACUGGGCGUAAAGCGUGCGUAGGCGGUUUCUUAAGUCUGUCGUGAAAGCCCUGGGCUCAACCUGGGAAUGGCGAUGGAUACUGGGAGGCUAGAGUGUGAUAGAGGAUGGUGGAAUUCCCGGUGUAGCGGUGAAAUGCGUAGAGAUCGGGAGGAACACCAGUGGCGAAGGCGGCCCAUCUGGAUCAACA
This 217-nucleotide ribosomal RNA is filed under the name uncultured bacterium. RNAcentral describes it as "partial 16S ribosomal RNA". It matches the Rfam family "Bacterial small subunit ribosomal RNA", at positions 524 to 739 of the family's 1533-position model. The record is from RNAcentral.